RNAcentral lists this unclassified non-coding RNA (376 nucleotides) under soil metagenome. RNAcentral's name for it is "partial contains 5.8S ribosomal RNA, internal transcribed spacer 2, and large subunit ribosomal RNA". The stretch from base 1 to 120 matches the Rfam family "5.8S ribosomal RNA", at positions 35 to 154 of the family's 154-position model. The record is from RNAcentral.
GAUGAAGAACGUAUCGAAAUGCGAUAAGUAAUGUGAAUUGCAGAAUUCAGUGAAUCAUCGAAUCUUUGAACGCAUCUUGCGCUCCUUGGUAUUCUGAGGAGCAUGCCUGUUUGAGUGUCAUUAAAUUCUCAACUACACUGACUUUGAAUUGGUGUGGCUUGGAUUUGGGGGGAAAAUUGUUGUGGGCUUUUUGUAUAGUCUGCUCCCCUGAAAUUGAUUAGCGGUACCUUUGUGGAACUGUCUACAGGUGUGAUAAUUAUCUACAUCUUAGACAUCUGCUGGAAUGCUGCUUUCUAAACCUUACUUGUAUUGACAAUCUUGACCUCAAAUCAGGUAGGACUACCCGCUGAACUUAAGCAUAUCAAUAAGCGGAGGA